GAUGAACGCUGGCGGCGUGCCUAACACAUGCAAGUCGAGCGGCAGCGAGGGGUGCUUGCACCCUGUCGGCGAGCGGCGGAAGGCUGAGUAACGCGUGGGAACGUGCCCCAAAGUGAGGAAUAACUGCCCGAAAGGGUAGCUAAUACCGCAUAUUAUCUUCGGAUCAAAGGAUUUAUCCGCUUUGGGAGCGGCUCGCGUCGGAUUAGGUAGUUGGUGAGGUAAUGGCUCACCAAGCCGACGAUCCGUAGCUGGUCUGAGAGGAUGACCAGCCAGACUGGAACUGAGACACGGUCCAGACUCCUACGGGAGGCAGCAGUGAGGAAUCGUCCACAAUGGGCGAAAGCCUGAUGGAGCAGCGCCGCGUGCAGGGCGAAGGCCUUCGGGUUGUAAACUGCUUUUAUAAGUGAGGAAUAUGGCGGUAACUGAUGAAUAAGGAUCGGCUAACUACGUG
RNAcentral lists this ribosomal RNA (451 nucleotides) under uncultured bacterium. Its description in RNAcentral is "partial 16S ribosomal RNA". It matches the Rfam family "Bacterial small subunit ribosomal RNA", at positions 28 to 507 of the family's 1533-position model. The record is from RNAcentral.